Molecule: ribosomal RNA, 315 nt
Filed under: uncultured eukaryote
Lineage: Eukaryota
Description: partial 18S ribosomal RNA
Rfam family: Eukaryotic small subunit ribosomal RNA
Source: RNAcentral
CCCUUAGAUGUUCUGGGCUGCACGCGCGCUACACUGACGCACGCAACAGGUGCCUGCUCCGAGAGGACUGGGUAAUCAUUUGAGUGUGCGUCGUGAUGGGGAUAGAAUAUUGUAAUUAUUACUCUUCAACGAGGAAUUCCUAGUAAGCGCAAGUCAGCAGCUUGCGCUGAUUACGUCCCUGCCCUUUGUACACACCGCCCGUCGCUCCUACCGAUGGGUGAUCCGGUGAAUGAUUCGGACUUCAGCGGCUCCUCUGGGGUGCGCCGGAGAAAGUUUUGUGAACCUUAUCGCUUGGAGGAAGGAGAAGUCGUAACA